GCCAAUGGUACAAGAUGGGACACUACCACCCUGGAGUGGUACUACCGCCGGCCCGGGUGGUACUACCGAUGAUAAGAGGUAGUACCGCUCCAGGGAGCUGUACGAACACUUGGAUCAUUCCACAUAGACCACAGACAACAGAUGAAAACCAGAACUACCAUAACUUUUGCAUAGGAACUCCGAAUUGAGGAAACUCAAGCUUGUUGGAUUCACGACGACAAGAGCUAUCCAACAACAAUGAUAUAGAGAUGUGAAAGAUCUACGAAUGAAGAACCGGCAAAAACUCCAACAUCGAAAACAUCAUAGAAGAUGCGCAUAAACUCCGUUUUCGAUGAACUCGUGCUUGUCGCAAAUAUGACCAUAAUCUCUAAAAUUCACAAAGAGAACCACCAAACAAGAACCAAGAAAUAUGAUGCAUGGAUGCAAAUGGUUUGAGUUCUCAAAGAAUGAUACGAUCAAGCUACUCACUUGAGAGCCCCCCUGUAACGCCUAAGAUGCGAUCCUAUCCUUAUGUUGGCGCGAGGGCCUCGACGGGGAUAGAAACACAUCUCGUUGUUUCACAAGAAUGGAUAUUGUAACAAGUACAUGUACUGAAAAGAUAAGUUUAAGGAGUUGGCUUACACUCGCCACAAGCUACAUCAAUAUCACAUCAAUAGAGCAAUAUACAGUCAUCAUGAAGAAGAGCCGGGUCCGGGUACGGACGAAAACAAACGAUAAAAGAAUGACGUACAUCCUUGCUAUCCUAGGCUGCCGGCCUGGAACCCAUCCUAGAUCAUGAAGAAGAA
Molecule: long non-coding RNA, 785 nt
Filed under: Hordeum vulgare
Lineage: Eukaryota; Viridiplantae; Streptophyta; Magnoliopsida; Poales; Poaceae
Description: long non-coding RNA (HVUL_LNC007442)
Source: RNAcentral